Molecule: RNA transcript, 5284 nt
Organism: Ipomoea triloba (trilobed morning glory)
Lineage: Eukaryota; Viridiplantae; Streptophyta; Magnoliopsida; Solanales; Convolvulaceae
Gene name: protein FRIGIDA-ESSENTIAL 1
Exons: 10
Source: RefSeq, a predicted model, not a curated record
ACUCAGAAUCAAUCCAUACAAGAAUGAAGAAAUUGUGAUCCCCAAAUCAGAAUCCAGAGGGGGAUUAUAGUUCUGUAAUCUGUAGCGUUUCAGCCAUUGUUGUCGGCGGUUUACUGGUUUUUCGUCGCCGUUAAAUGCGCGUCACUUUUCAGGCGGUGAGGUCUGUGUAACGGUAUACGGAACCCUAACCCCAAUCAACUCCACCUUCACUUCUUCAUCGGAGCUCCGCCACCGCUGCAUGCGAUGUCCUCCGCCGCUGCGGCGGUUGAUCCACCACACAACACCGUGGACCCUGCCUCCGAGUCCGAACAGGAGAUGGAGGAGGAGGAGGAGGAGUACGAGGAGAUAGAGGAAGAGAUAGAAGAAGAAAUAGAGGAAGAAAUAGAGGUUGAAGAGGAAGAAGAAGUGGAAGAAGUAGAAGAAGAGGAGGAGGAGGAGGAGGAGGAGGAGGAAGAUGUAGAAGAAGCGGGAGCUGAUAGUGAUCAAGAAUUAGCUCCAUCCAAUGGAGAAGAUAGCGGAAAGGGCACUGCCGAAGCAGGAAUUGCAGAAGCAGCAGCCAAAUUGUUCAAUGAACAUGAUCAUAAAAAACAAGACAUGGAGGAAGAAGACGCUGGAAAAGAGGGAGCUGAUAAUGCUGAGGAAUUAACUAAACUCAAUGAAGAAGAUCAUGCAGAAGAAGUGGAAGAAACAGCAGCUGCUGAAAUUGCUGAAGGAUUAAGUCAAUGCAACAAAGAAGUUCACGAAAAAGAAAAUAGACAAGUUCUGGAGCCUGCAAGGCUUGAAAAGCUUUUGGGGUCAGAUUCUGCUACUCCCCAAGAAUCGGUAGCACAUCCACCAUUGGAUGCCUCUGUAGUAAGGGACAGUGAUGACAAUAACGAAACUGCUAGCCCAAAUGAUACAAAUGAAGGGAAGAAGUCAAUGGUUGAUGGAAAUAAAACCCACAGAGGUGAUGCCAAUAUUUCUCUGCAUGGGGGUGGAGUUAUGCCUGAAAAGGCUUUUGGUUGUGAAAUCAAUGCUGCAAUGUUGGAUGUUGAUCCUUCCAGCAAUGGGAUUAUUGGUGUCCAAUAUUCCAAAGAUAUGGCAGAUCAGGAAGCAGCACAAGCUGUAGAAGAUAUGGAGAUAUCACCAAGGUCGGAUGUUCCUCAAUUAAGGCCAAGAAGUUUGUCACCCGGUGCUGAAUUCAAUGAUAAAAAUAAACGACCCGCAAUUAUAUGUGAUUUUUUUGCUAAAGGCUGGUGCAUCAAAGGAAGUUCCUGUAGGUUCCUUCAUGUAAGGGAUAAUGCUGCUAACAGUUCCAAGGAGGGCAGUGUAGAUGCUUCUAAGGGAAAGGGCAUACUUGCUGGGGAAGGUUUGAAAUAUACAACUGAAAUAUCAGCAAAGAACAUGCAUUCAGACCUGGGUCUUUCUAGGAUUGAACAUGAAGCAACACUAAGGUUGAAGAGUGGGAUUGAGGAAGUGCCUCUAGACAAAAACCUUUCUGUGUCUGAUACCUCUUUCAAGGAUAAUGACAUUGGGAGGGAAUAUCUUGAACAUAAACCAUACUUGGCCAACUACAACCACUCCUCAUCAAUGUUCAAAGACUAUUCUCAAACUUUUGGGAACAGCUCUUUUGGUAGAGGUUUGCCAUCUGAAAAUUGUAGAAAUGUUGGAUAUUCCUCUUAUUUCUCACAUUUAGAAGGAAUAGGAAGUAAAGGAAGCCAGUUUCUUCAUGAUGACCAUCCUUCAAAUUGCCCUGCAGAGAGGGUACCUUUAUAUCCAAGUGCUUCUUGGAAUGCAAGUCCCCUUGGCUUGCAGAAGCCUAUAGAAGGUGGUAAAGAACUUUCUGCUUCUGGAUCUGUUUCAUUCAAACACAAGUCUCCGCUGUUCACUGGUUCUGAAUCAACACUAAUUUCUCACCCUGAUUUAUCUGCACCUACACAUCAUUCGUCUCUGUAUAGGCCCAAGCUAUCCUUUGACAAUUGGGAGCCUUCUGUUCCAUUUCAACCAUCAUUCUUGAUUACUCAGCGUAUGCUGUCUGAGGCAAGUCAAUAUGAUCCUAUUCGAGACAGUAUUGAGCAGACAGUUGCUCAAGACAAGCCCUCACAGUUCCCUUUCUCUGGUCAAGGUGCAUCUGUCUCUGGCACACAUGUGUGUGAAAAUGCUGAUCCAGUAGUAACAGGAAACCUUGGCCCUGAACAGAGCUCUAAUAAACAUUCAGUUUCUAGUCACAGCUCUCACAAGGAUGCUGUUCCCAGAAACCUGUCAGAGAAAGAAAAAGAACUGAUGGAUACUGCAGGGGUUCAUCAGGAGAACAUUUAUUAUACUUCCUUGAAAGAAAAGCAGCUUCUGGAAUCUGCUGAUUUCGGAGAUACUACUGAAGCUGAUAAAACACACUUUAGUAAUGAUACUUUGCAGAAGAAUGGGGCACAGUGUAAGAUGGAACUGAAAGUAGAGAGAGUGGAAAGUGGAAAUGAUGUUGAUGGAUUAGUUCACCAGGACUCUAGAGCUUUAAAACAGUUUCGUUCUGCUCUUGUGGAAUUUAUCAAGGAACUAUUAAAACCAACUUGGCAGGAGGGUCUUUUGAGUCGUGAUGCUUACAAGGUGAUAGUUAAAAAAACAGCACAUAAGUUUAUUAGCACAAUGCAGCCUGAACAAAUUCCUGAUAAUUCUGAUUCAUCCAAAGAAUACCUCUCAUUUGUUCAGCCGAAACUUGAGAAGCUUGUUCUGGGUAAUGUAGAUAAGUAUGGCAGGUCAUGAUAUGCAUUGCAAGUGUGCAACCUAGAUACUAGGUAGUUUGGAGCUAUCCCAAUGGGAUACUAGGAGUUCUGCCAACUGGUUUUUGGGCAAAGCAUCUUAAUUUGCUUCCUUUGGCAACAAAGUGGAAUCACUGUGGACUUUCAUGCAGCUGUUUAUCUUUGCUAAUAUCAAUAAUAGGGAGUGAAGGUGAGAUGCCAAACUGGAUACAUCAUACAUGUGUAUCUAAAUGUUUCUCCCCUCUAACCCUCUUCAAAGUAAACACAGGUGGUAUUGAUUUAUUUUAUUUUAUUUUUCUCUUUGGCUGUUAUAUUUUAUUCUUUAUUGAUUUAUUUUAUUUUAUUUUUCUCUUUGGCUGUUAUAUUUUAUUCUUUCCUUCCUCUGUACUGUCUUACUCUAACACUCCCCAUACAUUCUUUUCCUUUCCUUUCUAUCUCUUCUUCUCAAACCUCAUCAGGCAUUCUUUUCUUUGGGAAGCACGGGGGAUAUAUCAUAUUGUUGGGCCUGUGAUAAUAAUAUGAAUAACCUUUUUGCAAUACUAAUUUAAAUAUUGUAUGGUUUUUGUUAUUGAGGUCUUUGUGUUGAGCAUUGCAUCCUUUUUAGUUGAAUGUCUUUGACAGUUAAAAGUAGUGCUCCGUGCUUUAAAUUCUUAGGCUCCAUUUAGAAUGCAGGUAUAGGAUGCGAAAGAGUCUUGAUUCUGAUAUCAAUAUCCUUCCCGCAUUUGUUAUGCCCAUUCUAUUGUAAUUGUGAUUCCUAACCAGACCACGUUCCUUUCUAUACCAUAACCCCCCCCAAACUUCAUGUAACAAACCAAAAAGUAGAUAGAUGAUCAGAGAAGCUACUCAAAGAGAGAGUGGAUAGAAUUUGAAUUAAAUUUCAUUUGUUUUCAGAAUUAUAUUCAGAAAAUGCAUGGAUGGGUAAUCUCUUUCAUUAAUGACUUAAGAUCUAUGGUUUGUUGAGUGUCAGAACUGAUAUCUAUAAUAAUAAUAUUGAUGAUGAUGAUGAUGACAAUGACACUAUGCUGCCAUUUUAUCAAUAGGAUUUUAGUGAUUUGUGUGUUGUAAUAUUAUUGUAUUUUCAUCAGAAAAUUCCUGAUAACUUUCAAUAUUCCUUGAAAAUAUCUGUAUUGAAUGAAGAUUUAUUAGCAAAAGUUUCUUUGACAUUGAUGCUCAAAGUUUCUAGCUUGAGUAAUCACCCUGCUGGUUAUUCUCUGGAGUUAUUUUUAGCUCAUCAUCUUCCUUUCCUUUUCUUUUUUUUUUUUUUCAUAAAGUUUAUUACAAGUUCUUAACAGACACUGUAUUUUUUUCUUUGCAACUACAAUUGCCAAGAUGCAGUAGUGCAGUACUAUCUAGCUGAAAGGAAGAAGACUGAUACAGGAUUGUAAAAACAUAGAGGGGACUAAAUGAGGUCCUGAACCAUUGAAUAAUGUAUUUAUGUUGUCUAACUUGGGUCGGAGCCAUUUCCUGUUGGUGUUCUAGUUAAUGGAUUUGAUCAAUGCCAUGUUACGGAUAAACUGGAGAUAACUUAAGCCUCUGAGUUUCUUUCGUCAAUGUGGUAUCUGUCCCUUUGCUGAUGCAGUUGGUUCACUUGCAUGACAUGUUCUGCAUGGUUUUGCAAAUGUCUGGAAAAUUUUCCGACCAAACCAUUGGCCUGAAGCACCAUGCUUCUUAUUUGGUAUGCGUUUGACUUGAUUGCAUGGUUGGGUGUUGACUCCUGUGUUGAGAUUAAACUCUUUCGUGUUUGAUCUUCUGCUAUUCUUUUGAGCUGGUGACAGUAUCUCCUUUAAACUGGUUUCCUCAAGCGCUUGAGGUUGAGAGCUUUUAGACAGAACAGAUUGUGACAAAACCCGACCCUUAUGAAACAAUACUUUAGCUGGUGCAUUGCUGUUCGGGUUUGCCUUGGUCGAGUCAUCUGUUGUUGAUGGGAAUUCAAAUUCCGGCUCCAUAUUCUGGACCCCCGUAGCCUUAUUAGUCAGAGCUAAUGGAAGAAACUGCUGAGUUUGAAGCUGCGCAUUCUGGUUCUGGAUACAUACGAGGUCUGCAAACGAGGGUGAGCCAUCUGCAGCAAAAUCUUGUGCAACACCUGACAGCCCCUUCUUUCCCAUACUGGUCAUAAUGGACACGGUGAAGCUCUCUCUAACGCUUCGGCCUCUUUAUAUACAGAACUCAGAACAGUCCCUCCCGGGGAACAAGGAAGAUAGGCACCUUAAAUUUGUUUUAUACAAUGAGGUUCUCUGAAGAAGAAUGCUGCAUUGUGAAGAUGUAGCGUAGUUUUCAAGAACGAGAGUGGAAGUCCAGCCAUAAGAGGUGGGUUUCUUUACUCUCUUGUUUUGGCAUAUCUUAAAUGUUGAUGUUGGAUGCAUCACUUCGUGACUUGCUGGUUUUGUGUUUUGUGAUGGCUUUUAAUGUUUUGUUUGGCCGUCCAUUCUAGGCUAGGGAGUAGGGACUGCAUUUCAUUUUAUUUUAUUUUUCUUCUUCCUUAAAUCCAUUUAAUAUAUGAGAAAAUCUAUAAUGUUCAUUACUAAAAUGAAAAAUACUAAUUGGAUUCUCAA